RNAcentral lists this transfer RNA (87 nucleotides) under Zoogloeaceae bacterium. RNAcentral's name for it is "tRNA-Leu". It matches the Rfam family "tRNA". Rfam says of the family: Transfer RNA (tRNA) molecules are approximately 80 nucleotides in length. Their secondary structure includes four short double-helical elements and three loops (D, anti-codon, and T loops). Lineage: Bacteria; Pseudomonadati; Pseudomonadota; Betaproteobacteria; Rhodocyclales; Zoogloeaceae. The record is from RNAcentral.
GCCGGGAUGGCGGAAUUGGUAGACGCAGCGGACUCAAAAUCCGCCGCUGGAAACAGUGUGGGGGUUCGACUCCCCCUCCCGGCACCA